Molecule: ribosomal RNA, 417 nt
Filed under: uncultured bacterium
Lineage: Bacteria
Description: bacterial SSU rRNA
Rfam family: Bacterial small subunit ribosomal RNA
Source: RNAcentral
UGGGGAAUAUUGCACAAUGGGGGAAACCCUGAUGCAGCGACGCCGCGUGGAGGAAGAAGGUCUUCGGAUUGUAAACUCCUGUUGUUGAGGAAGAUAAUGACGGUACUCAACAAGGAAGUGACGGCUAACUACGUGCCAGCAGCCGCGGUAAAACGUAGGUCACAAGCGUUGUCCGGAAUUACUGGGUGUAAAGGGAGCGCAGGCGGGAGACAAGUUGGAAGUGAAAUCCAUGGGCUCAACCCAUGAACUGCUUUCAAAACUGUUUUCUUGAGUAGUGCAGAGGUAGGCGGAAUUCCCGGUGUAGCGGUGGAAUGCGUAGAUAUCGGGAGAACACCAGUGGCGAAGGCGGCCUACUGGGCACCAACUGACGCUGAGGCUCGAAAGUGUGGGUAGCAAACAGGAUUAGAUACCCCUGUA